Molecule: ribosomal RNA, 63 nt
Filed under: Burkseus vittatus
Lineage: Eukaryota; Metazoa; Arthropoda; Insecta; Hymenoptera; Eulophidae
Description: partial 5.8S ribosomal RNA
Rfam family: 5.8S ribosomal RNA (bases 8-63)
About the family: 5.8S ribosomal RNA (5.8S rRNA) is a component of the large subunit of the eukaryotic ribosome. It is transcribed by RNA polymerase I as part of the 45S precursor that also contains 18S and 28S rRNA. Functionally, it is thought that 5.8S rRNA may be involved in ribosome translocation.
Source: RNAcentral
AAUGAUUACCCUGAACCGGUGGAUCACUUGGCUCGUGGGUCGAUGAAGAACGCAGCUAAUUGC